Molecule: ribosomal RNA, 733 nt
Filed under: Triticum aestivum (bread wheat)
Lineage: Eukaryota; Viridiplantae; Streptophyta; Magnoliopsida; Poales; Poaceae
Description: partial small subunit ribosomal RNA
Source: RNAcentral
AACAUUAAACAAAGGCUAUGGGAAGAGGAGUUUACUCUCAGUGCGGAGAAACGGGUAGAGGAUCGCGAACGGUAGCUGCCACCGCCGCCAGGUCUAGGCCGCGGUUGGAGGCCCUGAUGCAGGUGACGUCCCCGAGGGACGGAGGAGGUCCAGCUGGCCGAGGUGGUAGGUCCGCAGGGGCCGCAGCACGAGGUGUAGCAGCUCACCCUAGGCCGGCAGCGGUGGCGGUGCCAGAGGUGGAGAGGUCCCCGUCGCCCGCGGGGAGGGGUGAGGGGGCUGCCCAGGCACUGGCCCGACUUGUGGGUGCCGUGCCCGCACUUUGCGUCGGGCUGCCGGCGUGCGGUUUCGAGAAGAAGGAUCAGAGCCUGCCAUCUAACUUGGCUACUUGGAAUAUAUCUCAGGUACCUCCAGGACCAGAGAGGGUUGUGUACUUCGAUCUACUCGUUCUUCCUAUUGUUGACGGUUUCCGAUCUCGAAAAGAUAGUACAUGGUAGUUCUACGAACAACCGAUAGUCAGGAAUUAUGAUUCAGAACGCCUGUACAUGAUUUCUACUAGGAGAGUACAAUAUUCCUACGUAGUAAACUAUAGACACAAGGAGUACACAAGACAAGGCAGACCCUACCGAAUUAAAAGAGUACAUGAGUUCAUGAAGGUCAAACUGUACACACAUCAAGACGAACUUCUCUACCGAAUUAAAGGAGUACACGAGUUUACAAACACUACAUAUUACGG